GUUAGGAAUAUUGGACAAUGGGCGCAAGCCUGAUCCAGCCAUGCCGCGUGAGUGAUGAAGGCCUUCGGGUUGUAAAGCUCUUUAGCCGAUAAUUAUAAUGACUGUAGUCGGAAAAUAAGCCCCGGCUAACUUCGUGCCAGCAGCCGCGGUAAUACGAAGGGGGCGAGCGUUAUUCGGAAUCACUGGGCGUAAAGCGUGCGUAGGCGGCUUUGCAAGUUGGGAGUGAAAGCCCAGGGCUCAACCCUGGAAUUGCUCUCAAAACUGCAAGGCUCGAAUUCGGGAGAGGAUAGCGGAAUUGUCAGUGUAGCAGUGAAAUGCGUAGAUAUUGACAGGAACACCAGUGGCGUAAGCGGCUAUCUGGACCGAUAUUGACGCUGAGGCACGAAAGCGUGGGGAUCAAACAGGAUUAGAAACCCCAGUAGUCC
This 425-nucleotide ribosomal RNA is filed under the name uncultured bacterium. Its description in RNAcentral is "partial 16S ribosomal RNA". It matches the Rfam family "Bacterial small subunit ribosomal RNA", at positions 354 to 796 of the family's 1533-position model. The record is from RNAcentral.